Helianthus annuus (common sunflower) is the source of this 1523-nucleotide long non-coding RNA. RefSeq lists it as uncharacterized. The transcript has 3 exons. The record is from RefSeq and is a predicted model, not a curated record. NCBI's taxonomy places the organism in Eukaryota, Viridiplantae, Streptophyta, Magnoliopsida, Asterales, Asteraceae.
CUGAAAAACUGGCAGUUAUUGGCGGUUACAUACUUCUCUCCUGCUCCGUAUUUCCAGCCGUAUUCCCAGCGUAGGUUAUGUACUACCACUCCCCUAAACAAUGACAGUUCCCCCUCAACACAUAAACCCUAAUCGCCUUCUUCUCCUGUAUACGAUCUUUUCCAAAUCGAUAUACUGUUACCAGCAUCAAUUGAUGCUUCUUCAAUCGUUCAUCAUCGACCAUCAUAUCUUCAACAGUUUUGAGCCAAUGGGAAUUUCACAAAUCAUCAAGUGUGCUCUUUUGGCAUUUACAAACUCGGUUCUCUUCGGUUACGCUAAGAAAAUCCAAUCUCAAUUACAAUUUUUUUUUCUAAAUUGCUUCAUUAAUUUGCAAUACCUUAAUCACAGUUAUCAUACAUUCACAAAAUUGGGUUCGAGAUUGAGCAGAAAGUGCCAAAGUUUUAAAACACAAUUUAUUAAUUUUGAGAAUUAUGUUGAAAAGAUUGAUUUUAGCAACAAUGGUCUCUCUGGAAUGCUUGUGUGCAGAUAUCGGGUAACGAGUGGAGAGGUGUUAUUCAUACGUGGUGAAAUUAUGUCUCUGGCUCAGGUAAUAAAAUGAAUUGCUACCAUUAGAAAACCAUAUUUCAUUAGUCAUGAUUAGAAUUUAUAUAUAAACCGAUAGGAGUCUAGGGCGGCUGGUAAAUUUGUGAACUAUCACUUUAUGAUAAUUUAAAUGUGCAGCUUUACUCUCGAACAUUGGCAUUUAUUUAUGGUCUAAAUAAUCGAUUCAGGUGGCGCGUUUUCUCUUAUCAUGUUUGCACAGUCUUUUUAUUAGUUUCAGUUUCUAAACGUGUGCAUAUAUUUGGUAAUAUGUUUGAUCUUUUUUUAAGGCUUUCGGCUAGCUACUGACCAUGCUCACAAAACAUUGCUCGAUUGGGUCAAAGAUAAUAAUAUAUAUGUGAGUUGUGAUUGUUGACAUCGGUUAUACCAACUCACCAUUUUCAUAAUGUGAUUAAGAAAAUAAACAGUUCAUAUUGUUGAAUAACCAUUCAUAAAUAUGCAAAUCCCAGUUGUAGUUAUGCUUAAUUGUAGGGUAUCUCUUUCUUAAUCCGGGUAUGUUAUGUGAUAAUGAUAGUCUGGCAGCGCUGUUAGCCAUGGAAUUGAAGCCAGAUCUUGCAUUGUUGAGUGGUAUGGUCUGGGUGUAGGAAUUUGCCUCGAUCUCGAUUAUUCUAAGUUCGAUUAAAUAAAGUUUUUAGGUCAUAACAGAUUUUUAGCGUAUGACAUGGCAGAUAUGGAAGAAUCAGUGACUCCUGUAUUUGCCUCCCUUCUCAAGUCUAGCAUUCUGGUUUUUCUUUUCAGAUCAAAGCUUCUUUUGGGGGCACUUGUGUAGUAACCAAGAACACAUACAAACUUGCAAGAACUCACAAGGCAUUCCAGGAGCAAUCUGAUCGACAAGGCAACUUCCAAGUGUUAUCUAGGCUUCUUUAGGACCUUUAAUAGGAGAUCCAGUAAAAGCUAUUUGUACUUGCUUGGUGGUAUACGGC